Molecule: long non-coding RNA, 955 nt
Organism: Meriones unguiculatus (Mongolian gerbil)
Lineage: Eukaryota; Metazoa; Chordata; Mammalia; Rodentia; Muridae
Exons: 2
Source: RefSeq, a predicted model, not a curated record
GCAGUAGCAGCAGGAGGAGGAGCCCCAUGUUAGAUCCCCAUAUUCUCAGGGGACAGUUGCCUCUACUGACAGGUUGGAAGACAGACAGAAGAGAAAAAUGAAAGAAAGGGGAAUGAAGAAUCACACUGAAGGUGUUGUCCUCAGAGAGGAAAACUUGUCUCUUCUCAGCUGGGAAAUGCCAACCUAGACCAGUUUAGGAAAGAAGCUGGGAAGAAAGUAAUCGUGUCUACUUAAUAUAGUUGGAUGCAUGCAUCAGGUCCCCAAGUGCAAACUCCUAGGAGAGAGUUGCAUAUGGCAGUGCUGAGGCUAGUCCUGCUUCACACGAGCGGCUAAAGGUAAAAUCAGGGCGAAGUUGUAGAGUUGGUGGCACCUACAGCCUUGCACUGGAUGAGCCCACAAAGGGGGUGCUGGAGACUGAGCUGUUGACCCACGGAGUCCCCAACAACAGCAUGACCUGAAGAGGGUUAGAUUAGACUGAGAAUAAAUCCUUGCAGGUGAGGUGAGGGCCAGGAGGUAGGGCUGUCCAGAGACUAGCAUUCCGCCUCUCAGUGAGUGUCCCCUGAGGACACCUGCCUUACCUUAACUGUUUUCUGUUCCAGUUUGUUACAAGCAGCCCUGUUCGAGGGCUGUGUCAUCGAGGAGGAAGGUUGCUGAAUGCUGAAGGACACCCCACUAGGAUGAGGUCUCAUUUCAGAUGAGGACAUAAGGUCAUCUCUGUGCCAAGCUGUCCUUUCCACACCCUGAAACAGCACAGGACUGAAUAGCCCGCUCCUGCCCUCUGCUGGCCGAAAGGUGCUCUUAUGGACCUAUCUCUGCACUGGGCCAUCCCAUGGGGUCAAUCAAAUGCUUCAUCCAGCUUCAGCCCUGUCAUCCCACGCUGAGGCUGCACACUCUUCUGUGUCAGCCUAGAAUAUCAUCCCAGAUUCUGGUCUAUUACAAAUAAAGCUGCUACAAA